Molecule: ribosomal RNA, 440 nt
Filed under: uncultured bacterium
Lineage: Bacteria
Description: partial 16S ribosomal RNA
Rfam family: Bacterial small subunit ribosomal RNA
Source: RNAcentral
CCUACGGGCGGCAGCAGUAGGGAAUAUUGCUCAAUGGGGGAAACCCUGAAGCAGCAACGCCGCGUGGGGGAUGAAGGUUUUCGGAUUGGAAGCUCCUUUUGUUAGAGAGGAUAAUGACGGUAUCUAACGAAUAAGCACGGGAUACCUCCGUGCCAGCAGCCGCGGUAAUACGGAGGGUGCAAGCGUUAAUCGGAAUCACUGGGCGUAAGGAGCGGGUAGGCGGGAUAGAAAGUCAGACGUGAAAUCCGAGGGCUUAACCAUAGAACUGCAUUUGAAACUGUUAGUCUAGAGUGUGGGAGAGGUAGGUGGAAUGCUUGGUGUAGGGGUAAAAUCCGUAGAGAUCAAGAGGAAUACUCAUUGCGAAGGCGACCUGCUAGAACAUAACUGACGCUGAUGCGCGAAAGCGUGGGGAGCAAACAGGAUUAGAUACCCUUGUAGUC